ACACACGGGUGCUCACUGCUGGUCCUGGAUACGGUCCCUGAAACCUCAGGAUCAAGGGAUCACCUGGAGCAUCCCAUGCUGAAGGAAAGUGCCUGAGGCUGAACUGAGGGCCCCUAAUCCUGGAAGUCUGGGCUGAGGAGGAUCCGCUGGCAAAGGAGCUAAGAGGGGAAAUCGGGACAGCGUGGGUCAUGGGAACAAGAGCAGGGGACGAUUCAAGGAUGGGGGCGUCUACCAGGGCCUCAAAGUGAAAGCAAUAUUUACAUUUAGGCACUGUUAAACUCCCUGUACCAGCUAAUGGGGUACAACCUCUUCAAACUGACUGAUUUUAUUAUUCUUCUAUUUAAGCUUGCUGUGUAAUUUUUGAGGAGCUAAGCGGAAAGGGGCAAUGCAACAGAGGAAAAUUCCAGAUUCUAGCUUCGGACAGGGUCUGCUGAACUGUGCAUCA
Molecule: long non-coding RNA, 445 nt
Organism: Bos taurus (domestic cattle)
Lineage: Eukaryota; Metazoa; Chordata; Mammalia; Artiodactyla; Bovidae
Source: Ensembl